GACGAACGCUGGCGGCGUGCUUAACACAUGCAAGUCGAACGGAAAGGCCCUGCUCUUGUGGGGUGCUCGAGUGGCGAACGGGUGAGUAACACGCGAGUAAACUGCCCUUGACUUUGGGAUAACUUCAGGAAACUGGGGCUAAUACCGGAUAGGAGCUACUGCUGCAUGGGGGGGGUUGGAAAGAUUCGGCGGUUGGGGCUGGACUCGCGGCUUAUCAGCUUGUUGGUGGGGUAGUGGCUUACCAAGGCUUUGACGGGUAGCCCGCCUGAGAGGGUGACCGGCCACAUUGGGACUAAGAUACGGCCCAGACUCCUACGGGCGGCAGCAGUGGGGAAUAUUGCACAGUGGGCGGAAGCCUGAUGCAGCAGCGCCGCGUGCGGGAUGACGGCCUUCGGGUUGUAAACCGCUUUCGCCUGUGACGAAGCGUGAGUGACGGUAAUGGGUAAGGAAGCACCGGCUAACUACGUG
RNAcentral lists this ribosomal RNA (468 nucleotides) under uncultured bacterium. RNAcentral describes it as "partial 16S ribosomal RNA". It matches the Rfam family "Bacterial small subunit ribosomal RNA", at positions 28 to 507 of the family's 1533-position model. The record is from RNAcentral.